AUGGAGACUCUUCUACAAGUACUCAUAGGAGUAUUGGAGUUGCAGGCAGCCUGGGUCAGUAGUCAAGAAGUGCAGCAGAGUCCACAGUCUCUGAACAUCCGAGAGGGAGAAGAUUUUAUCAUAAACUGCAAUGCAUCAAAGACUUUAUAUGCCUUUCACUGGUACAGGCAAAAGCAUGGUGAAGGUCUGAUCUCCUUGAUGGUGAUACAGAAAAGUGGGGAAGAAAUACAUUAUGAAAAAAUGACUGCCAAGUUGGAUGAGAAAAAGCAGCAAAGUUCCUUGCAUAUCACAGCCUCACAGCCCAGCCACUCAGGUAUCUACCUCUAUGGAGCAGAGGCACAGUGA
Molecule: non-coding RNA, 345 nt
Organism: Equus quagga
Lineage: Eukaryota; Metazoa; Chordata; Mammalia; Perissodactyla; Equidae
Source: the annotation of a RefSeq genome assembly